GCACCCUGGUCUAGUGGAAGGUGUCCCUGCCCAUGGUAGGAGGAUGGAACAAGGUGAGCUUUAAAGUCACUUCCAACCCAAACAAUUCUGUGCUUCUCUGAACCCAAAUGCUUUUUCCCCU
Long non-coding RNA from Corvus hawaiiensis (hawaiian crow), 121 nucleotides. RefSeq lists it as uncharacterized. The record is from RefSeq and is a predicted model, not a curated record. NCBI's taxonomy places the organism in Eukaryota, Metazoa, Chordata, Aves, Passeriformes, Corvidae. The transcript has 4 exons.